UACGUAGGGUGCAAGCGUUGUCCGGAAUUAUUGGGCGUAAAGAGCUCGUAGGCGGUUUGUCGCGUCUGCUGUGAAAACUCGGGGCUUAACCUCGGGCCUGCAGUGGGUACGGGCAGACUAGAGUGCGGUAGGGGAGAUUGGAAUUCCUGGUGUAGCGGUGGAAUGCGCAGAUAUCAGGAGGAACACCAAUGGCGAAGGCAGAUCUCUGGGCCGUAACUGACGCUGAGGAGCGAAAGCAUGGGGAGCGAACAGG
Molecule: ribosomal RNA, 253 nt
Filed under: uncultured bacterium
Lineage: Bacteria
Description: partial 16S ribosomal RNA
Rfam family: Bacterial small subunit ribosomal RNA
Source: RNAcentral